This is an RNA transcript of Arvicola amphibius (Eurasian water vole), 2199 nucleotides long. It is a transcript of the gene named tumor protein p53, with no coding region annotated. Lineage: Eukaryota; Metazoa; Chordata; Mammalia; Rodentia; Cricetidae. The transcript has 11 exons. The record is from RefSeq and is a predicted model, not a curated record.
CCUCCCAUGUGGCCGAACCAAAAAGUUUUGUGCUAGUCCACUGCCACAGUCCUGGCUGCAGGUGGCUUUUGGGACCAGGGGGCACCUAGCAUCUGAGUCCGGAAUCUACUUUCCACAGGGUGACACGCUUCCCUGAAGACCCGAAGCCUGACUGACUUCCUGGGUGCUUCAAUGGAGGAGCCACAGUCAGACCUCAGCAUCGAGCCCCCUCUGAGUCAGGAGACAUUUUCAGACUUGUGGAACCUACUUCCUCCAAACAAUGUUCUGUCUACAUCGCUGUCAGUUGAUGCCAUGGAAGAUCUGUUCCUGUCCCAGGAUGUUGCAAACUGGUUAGAAGAGCCAAGUGAAGGCCCCCAAAUGUCAGCAGCAACUUCUACAGCAGAGGACCCUGUCACUGAGGCCCCCGCACCGGUGACUCCUGCACCAACCACUUCCUGGCCCCUCUCAUCUUCUGUCCCGUCCCAAAAAACCUACCAGGGCGAAUAUGGUUUCCGCCUGGGCUUCCUGCACUCAGGGACGGCCAAAUCUGUCACAUGCACGUACUCCCCUUCCCUCAAUAAGCUAUUCUGCCAGCUGGCAAAAACAUGUCCUGUGCAGUUGUGGGUCAGCUCCACACCUCCUCCUGGCACCCGUGUCCGUGCCAUGGCCAUCUACAAGAAGUCCCAGCACAUGACCGAAGUCGUUAGACGCUGCCCCCACCACGAGCGCUGCUCCGAUGGUGAUGGUUUGGCUCCCCCUCAGCAUCUCAUCCGAGUGGAAGGAAACUUGCGAGCCGAGUAUCUGGAUGACAGGCAGACUUUUCGGCACAGUGUGGUGGUGCCAUAUGAGCCACCUGAGGUCGGCUCUGACUGUACCACCAUCCACUACAACUAUAUGUGUAAUAGCUCCUGCAUGGGGGGCAUGAACCGCCGGCCCAUCCUCACCAUUAUCACACUGGAAGACCCCAGUGGGAACCUGCUGGGGAGGAACAGCUUUGAGGUUCGUGUUUGUGCCUGUCCUGGGAGAGACCGCCGUACGGAGGAAGAAAAUUUCCGGAAAAAGGGAGAGCCUCGUCCAGAGCUGCCGCUGGGAAGUACUAAGCGAGUGCUGCCCACCAACACAAGCUCCUCUCCCCAGCCAAAGAAGAAACCACUUGAUGGAGAAUAUUUCACCCUUAAGGUACCAAGGUUGGGAGAGUCACAUAGCGAAGACAAGGUGUAUCCACAUUGCCUUUAUUGAUGUCUCUUGCGUUAUCAAGCGAGUACUGUUGCCAGGUUAAAGUUCCAAGUCUAGCACACAAAAUGCUAUUUCUCUUUAGCCCUUUGUCUCUGGCUAUGGCCUUAGCUUCAGACCAUAUGUUCGGUGGGCAGCAUGCCUCAGAGACCUAACUUGAGAACACCAACUUAGACCAUAAUACAGGUAGGUGCUCCUCUACCUAAGAUGAGACCUCGUCCUGGCAAAAUCACUGUAAGUUGAAAAUACCUUAUGUCAAAAAUGCAUUUAGAGCCAAGCAUGGUUGGCACAUAAUUUCAGAACCGAGGAUUUGAAGCUUGCAAGAAACCGUAAUCAAGCUGGGCAGUGGUGGUGCACGCCUUUAAUCCCAGCACUCGGGACGCAGAGGCAGGCAGAUCUCUGUGAGUUCGAGGCCAGCCUGAUCUACAAGAGCUAGUUCCAGGACAGGUUCCAAAGCUACAGAGAAACCCUGUUGAGAGAGAGAGACAGACAGACAGACAGACAGACAGACAGACAGACAGACAGACAGACAGACAGAGAGAUCAAAACAAGGACAUUUGGGUUUAAGGUCACAGCUCAGUUUCAGGAUACAGGCCCUGAAUUCCCAGUGGCGCACACAGUGCACUUAAUCCACCUAACCGACUGGACUCCACAGCUCAGCAACAUAGUGUAUUUCCCAGACUGAAUUUCCCCUCGUGAUCGUGCUGUUGAGAGCUGUGCCUUUCUGUCCGUCGUCAGCAUCAACAGAGCAUCCUACUAUGUUAUCGCUAACUGGAAAAGACCCAAAUUUGAUACACACUUUCUACUGAAUACCUGUUGCUUUCACCCCAUCAAAAAGUCCCCCCAACAACUAUCCGUGGUCGUGAACGCUUCAAGAUGUUCUCAGAGCUGAAUGAGGCCUUAGAAUUAAAGGAUGCUCAGGAUGCAAAUGGGUCAGGAGACAGCAGGGCUCACUCCAGCUACCUGAAGUCCAAGAAGGGCCAGUCG